GAUGAACGCUAGCUACAGGCUUAACACAUGCAAGUCGAGGGGAAACGACAUCGAAAGCUUGCUUUUGAUGGGUGUCGACCGGCGCACGGGUGAGUAACGCGUAUCCAACCUGCCCACCACUUGGGGAUAACCUUGCGAAAGUAAGACUAAUACCCAAUGAUAUCCCACGAAGGCAUCCGAAUGGGAUUAAAGAUUUAUCGGUGAUGGAUGGGGAUGCGUCUGAUUAGCUUGUUGGCGGGGUAACGGCCCACCAAGGCUACGAUCAGUAGGGGUUCUGAGAGGAAGGUCCCCCCACAUUGGAACUGAGACACGGUCCAAACUCCUACGGGAGGCAGCAGUGAGGAAUAUUGGUCAAUGGGCGAGAGCCUGAACCAGCCAAGUAGCGUGCAGGAUGACGGCCCUAUGGGUUGUAAACUGCUUUUAUAAGGGAAUAAAGUGGGUCUCGUGAGACUUUUUGCAUGUACCUUAUGAAUAAGGACCGGCUAAUUCCGUG
RNAcentral lists this ribosomal RNA (493 nucleotides) under uncultured bacterium. Its description in RNAcentral is "bacterial SSU rRNA". It matches the Rfam family "Bacterial small subunit ribosomal RNA", at positions 28 to 507 of the family's 1533-position model. The record is from RNAcentral.